UCGAUAGUGAUAUUGCGAUUGACGCUCACAUCCUGCAGCGCAACACGCGGUCACACAGCAAACCAGGCAAAAGUGUUGUGAAGUGUGGGCGAUGACUCAAAAGAGAGCGAGAGUGACAAAACCCGAAACACAGCGUACAAAAACACAACACACACAGGGCACACACACACACAUUGACGACAGAGUGCAUUCAGAAGGCUUCGCUUUUUAGCUGCUGAGCAACUGCUUAGUGUACAUACACAUACGCAUGUGUGUGGGCAUGUAUGUGUGCAUCUACAUAGCUGCAAAAGGGUCGCAACAAAUCUCAACGUAAAAUGGACAAUAGCACCCUAGUGAAGCCAAAGGCAAGGCAAGCGCCAUGCACUGCAUGUCCUGUGCACUAAGGCGGCUGCACUAUGCAUGCAAGUCUUUUCAGUAAGGACACGCACACACACACACACAUACAUAAUCACACGCAUACAUGAAAAACGAGGACGCAGUCGAGGACAUUGCAGCGCCAAACAAGAAAAUCGAUGAUAUUUUCACUACUUCCGGCAGUACAAAAACAACUAAGCCUGCUUUAAUCGAGUGUGAUCCAAUAGGUUAUACUCUGUGUUAACAAUCAGCAACAGAUGUGCCUCUUCUUCUUCACUUAACACUUCAUUACGAAGUAUAUAUUCAUUAAUAACUUCUAAUAACAAAAUGAUGAUCAGCAACACUUACAUUUGGGUUCCGAAUGGAAUCGAAUAUCCCCAUAUUCAUUAUAGCUUUGCCUCUCUGGCCAGACGCCUAAAGUUAUUAGACUGCGACACCUUUUGGUAACGCCGCAUUGCAAAGGGGAAACGGGUGGGUGGAGCGGAGAAAGGACAAAGCGUCUAAAGGAGCUGUGCAAACAGCUCGCCGCCGUCUCUGAUGAUGAUGUUUUGUGUGCUCAGAAAGCAAAAGUUGUGACUGCAUGCGAGGAGAAGGGAAAAAUUUCAAUCCUAAACUGAAGUAACAUCAAGUUAUCUAUAUUUUUUCUGUAUGCGAGAGUUUUCAGGAAAUCUGAUUAACGAUCAUUAAGGAAAUACAGUCAAAGAACUCAAGUAACGGGUAACUUGCUUGGACCGCUUUAUCGUUUUAAUUGGAUAACAUAGCUCAUGCCCUGUGCCAAUCGAACGAAUGUUACGCAAAGAAUUGAUUUAAAUACAAUUAAUUAACAUUGUUUACGCCAUUGACGAACUGGGUCAAAUAAUUUUCCAUACACAUGUGUUCAUAUGUGUACGUAUGUGUAGGUUUUGCUGUAAAAUUUGCAAAACAAGUGACCCAUGUCAAUUAAGCAAAAGCCGAACAAGAAGGCACAAGUUUUGUGCAGCAUAACGAAGAUUCUAAGCCCUUACUACAAAGUAAUUGCUCCCAAAU
Molecule: long non-coding RNA, 1380 nt
Organism: Drosophila novamexicana
Lineage: Eukaryota; Metazoa; Arthropoda; Insecta; Diptera; Drosophilidae
Exons: 4
Source: RefSeq, a predicted model, not a curated record